AUUGAACGCUGGCGGCAGGCCUAACACAUGCAAGUCGAGCGGAUGAAGGGAGCUUGCUCCUGGAUUCAGCGGCGGACGGGUGAGUAAUGCCUAGGAAUCUGCCUGGUAGUGGGGGAUAACGUCCGGAAACGGGCGCUAAUACCGCAUACGUCCUGCGGGAGAAAGUGGGGGAUCUUCGGACCUCACGCUAUCAGAUGAGCCUAGGUCGGAUUAGCUAGUUGGUGGGGUAAAGGCCUACCAAGGCGACGAUCCGUAACUGGUGUGAGAGGAUGAUACGUCACACUGGAACUGAGACACGGUCCAGAGUCCUACGGGAGGCAGCAGUGGGGAAUAUUGGACAAAGGGCGAAAGCCUGAUCCAGCCAUGCCGCGUGUGUGAAGAAGGUCUUCGGAUUGUAAAGCACUUUAAGUUGGGAGGAAGGGCAGUAAGUUAAUACCUUGCUGUUUUGACGUUACCAACAGAAUAAGCACCGGCUAACUUCGUG
RNAcentral lists this ribosomal RNA (484 nucleotides) under uncultured bacterium. RNAcentral describes it as "partial 16S ribosomal RNA". It matches the Rfam family "Bacterial small subunit ribosomal RNA", at positions 30 to 507 of the family's 1533-position model. The record is from RNAcentral.